GGAAGUUGGGUGGAAGCAGCGCGGACCCACGGCGCACCGAACGCACUCCAACAGAACCCGACGCAGACACGCGCUUUCAACCGGCGGAGACACUGGCAGGCUGAUCCAUAUGAAUUCCUCUUAUUAAGAAAAAUAAAGCAUCCAGGAUUCAAUGAAGAACUGACUAUCACCUUGUUAAUCAUUCAGAAACAUGUUGCAGGCUUAAGCCAUUUUUGAUAUAGAUACUGAAACAAUUACUUGCUAAGAGCAAACUUGAAGGUAUGGAUAAGGCCCUGAGUCAUCUUCCUGAGCUGAAUGAUAGUUAAGCUGAAUGACUGGACCUCACUGUGGGAACAACAAGAUCAACAAGAGGAGCAAGAACAACAUCAAGAGUCAGGGCCCGGGGGUCCUGACGGGUACAGGAUGGGUACAGACCCACACAGGAAUCCCAGAGUGUGUUCCACAGCAGGACACGCCUGCGCUGAAAGAGUGGGCAGAAAGGAGCUGACCUGGGAUUAUGAUCCAAACUCAGCUGGGCCUCCCCUACCUGCCCCAGGAUUGUGGAGUGAGAACGUUGCAGCAGGGGAGAACAACGCAGCAAAGCACAGCAGGGGAACCGGAAAUGCUCACCCUUUGACAGGGUACUUUUAGUUCUGGGGCCUUAUCUUAAGGAUAUUCCAACAUAUACAAAAAGAUUCAUGCACAGAGAUAUUUACUUUAGUAUUAUUUACCAUAGGAAAAAAGUUGGAAACAAUACAUUUUAUGUUCUGUAAAAUGAAAGAACAGUUAAAUAAAUCAUGGCUCUAAGACGACUCCAGGGCUGUGUACGGAAGUUCAGGGACUGAAUCAGUUGAGGCUGUUCCACCUGAGCCUAAGCUUCCUCUGCUGUAUGUCAGGAAUCAGGUGGGGGCCAAGCGAGAUCACCACAGUGCAGGCCAGUGUGCAGGGCACAGGUGGGCGCC
Long non-coding RNA from Homo sapiens (human), 941 nucleotides. Lineage: Eukaryota; Metazoa; Chordata; Mammalia; Primates; Hominidae. The record is from Ensembl.